This 500-nucleotide ribosomal RNA is filed under the name uncultured Glomeromycotina. Its description in RNAcentral is "partial small subunit ribosomal RNA". It matches the Rfam family "Eukaryotic small subunit ribosomal RNA", at positions 591 to 1092 of the family's 1831-position model. The record is from RNAcentral. Lineage: Eukaryota; Fungi; Glomeromycota.
CCAAUAGCGUAUAUUAAAGUUGUUGCAGUUAAAAAGCUCGUAGUUGAAUUUCGGGAUCAAUAUAUCGGUCGUGCCAUUGGUACGUACUGGUAUCAUUGGUUUCUCCUUUCUGACGAACCAUGAUGUCAUUAAUUUGGUGUUAUGGGAAGUUAGGACUGUUACUUUGAAAAAAUUAGAGUGUUUAAAGCAGGCUUUAGCUUGAAUACAUUAGCAUGGAAUAAUGAAAUAGGACGUUCGAACCUAUUUUGUUGGUUUCUAGGAUCAACGUAAUGAUUAAUAGGGAUAGUUGGGGGCAUUAGUAUUCAAUUGUCAGAGGUGAAAUUCUUGGAUUUAUUGAAGACUAACUACUGCGAAAGCAUUUGCCAAGGAUGUUUUCAUUAAUCAAGAACGAAAGUUAGGGGAUCGAAGACGAUCAGAUACCGUCGUAGUCUUAACCAUAAACUAUGCCGACUAGGGAUCGGAUGGUGUUAAUUUUUUAAUGACUCAUUCGGCGCCUUACG